This is a long non-coding RNA of Perognathus longimembris pacificus (Pacific pocket mouse), 175 nucleotides long. RefSeq lists it as uncharacterized. The record is from RefSeq and is a predicted model, not a curated record. NCBI's taxonomy places the organism in Eukaryota, Metazoa, Chordata, Mammalia, Rodentia, Heteromyidae. The transcript is spliced from 3 exons.
AGUUUAAGUUUUAAUAGAAGUUAAUUUAAGGUCCAUAGGGUCUUCUUGUCUUAUUAUUUAAUUUCCGCCUCUUCACGGAAAGGUCAAUUUCAUGGGCUAAAUGUAAGAGACAGUUAAGCCCUCAUUAUGCCGUUCAUACUAGUCCCUAAUUAAGAAACAAAAGAUCGGAAGACCA